AUGAAAUUUUCACAGGGGAGGAGGAGCAGCAACAUUUUGCCCAAGUUAAGGUUACACUGGCAAUAUACCAAGCAGCCCGAAGCACUUAAUUUUCAUGAGAGAUCUGAUUACAGCAGCCUGUAUUUGAGUACAGAAAUAUGUCCUGCAGAAUCUGCAGCCCCAGUGCUGCUUCCAAGGAGCAAGGACUGGAGCUCCAGCCUUCCAGGGAGUUUAUCACUCACCAGGUUGCUAACAUUAUGCUUUGAACAAAAUACCAGUGCCAGCAGCUUCCAGCAAAUGGAAAGUCACCAUAAAAAAAAAUGGAUAUCCAGUCCAUUGGCCAGCCAACAUACCUGCUCAGCUACAAGCAAGAAAGCCAAGCAGUUGGCCAGUUCCCAAAGAAGCUGGCCAGGCUGUGAGCCCAUCAGGCAGUUAUACCAUUAGCCAGGCAGCCAACUUGACUGACUUCUGACAAAAGCUUUCCAAGUAGCAUUGUGUCUCCAGG
This 484-nucleotide long non-coding RNA is filed under the name Anser brachyrhynchus (Pink-footed goose). RNAcentral describes it as "lncRNA (ENSABRG00000019914.1)". Lineage: Eukaryota; Metazoa; Chordata; Aves; Anseriformes; Anatidae. The record is from RNAcentral.